GGCACAGCAGACUCUUUCUUUAUGCCAGUCCUUGGCCUCACAGAGGCUCUGACCUUCAGGUUAAAGGCAGAAGCUUUCAUUGCCACUGUGACUUGAUGUGUUCGAAUCCCUGUGGGGAGGAGCCAAGGCCAAUCAAGUCCUUGCCUGAUCUCACCUGAAAUCCGGCAACAGCCCCAUGAGCAGAGCAGGGUGGAACACAUGGCUAAGGCACACAGCAGCCCAGCAUGGCACCUGGCGUGGAGGGAGAGGAAAGGCCAGUCUAGCGGGGACUGUCACCUCUUGCCACAAAGAUCUUCUUCAAGGGAAAAACCACGUUCUAAAGAAUUUGCAUUGGAAUUACAACCCUUGGAGAUGUCUAUAAGGACUGGAAGAAAAUGGUUUUGCUAAUGUUUGCUGCCCAGUCCAUGUCUCCUGCUGAGUGGGCAACCAACCAGGUGAAGAUGCCCAGAAGGAAGUUAGUUGUGAUUGCUGAACCUGGAAGAUGAUGCAUAUUUGGGGAGUGAAUGCGCCCCGGGAGCUCAUGCGUUUGGGCCAUGUAUAGACAAAUCAGCAGAAGUAGCUGGUUGGCAAGGAGGAAGAUGAAGGAGGCCACGUACAGAGAGAGACUUCGCUGUGAGGGGAAGUGUUAGAAAUGCUUAAAGUGCAUGUCACAAGAGAUGCCUUGGUUCCAGCCUUUCCUGAGGCUGGGUUUUUGGCUCUUCCAGGAUUUCCGUGCAUACAUGUCUUUCAAUAAACCUCAUUAUUUCUGGAA
Molecule: non-coding RNA, 751 nt
Organism: Sus scrofa (pig)
Lineage: Eukaryota; Metazoa; Chordata; Mammalia; Artiodactyla; Suidae
Source: RefSeq, a predicted model, not a curated record